Molecule: ribosomal RNA, 477 nt
Filed under: uncultured Mycoplasma sp.
Lineage: Bacteria; Bacillati; Mycoplasmatota; Mollicutes; Mycoplasmatales; Mycoplasmataceae
Description: bacterial SSU rRNA
Rfam family: Bacterial small subunit ribosomal RNA
Source: RNAcentral
UCAAACGGAAUUGACGGGGACCCGCACAAGUGGUGGAGCAUGUUGUUUAAUUCGACGAUACACGUAGAACCUUACCUAGACUUGACAUCCUUGGCGAAGUUAUAGAAAUAUAAUGGAGGUUAACCGAGAGACAGGUGGUGCAUGGUUGUCGUCAGCUCGUGUCGUGAGAUGUUGGGUUAAGUCCCGCAACGAGCGCAACCCUUAUCGUUAGUUAUUUUGUCUAACGAGACUGCCAACGCAAGUUGGAGGAAGGUGGGGAUGACGUCAAAUCAUCAUGCCCCUUAUGUCUAGGGCCACAAACGUGCUACAAUGGUCGGUACAAACAGUCGCUAAUUCGUAAGAUAGAGCUAAUCUGUAAAGCCGAUCUCAGUUCGGAUAGAGGGCUGAAAUUCGCCCUCUUGAAGUUGGAAUCACUAGUAAUCGCGAAUCAGCCAUGUCGCGGUGAAUACGUUCUCGGGUCUUGUACACACCGCCCGU